Molecule: non-coding RNA, 3200 nt
Organism: Taeniopygia guttata (zebra finch)
Lineage: Eukaryota; Metazoa; Chordata; Aves; Passeriformes; Estrildidae
Source: RefSeq, a predicted model, not a curated record
GAGCCCCCCCGAGUCACCCCGAGCCCCCCCGAGUCACCCCGAGCCCCCCGGAGUCACCCCAGCCUGCCAGCUCGCCUCUUUGUGCUCGCCUCCCACCCGUGCCGAGAUAUUGAGAAUGAGGAAACAACAGGGUUGUCAUACCUAGUAGGACGAAGAGGCUGUGGGAACAAACGUGGACUGAUCCAGUGGCAUGCUGGAUGGAAGGAUAUCCUGGUCACUCUGCACAGCUUUACCUGGGUGUAUGUGAAAAGUCUUCAUUUGAAAGUUUGCUAAGCAACAAAUCCUUGAAAUAGAAUAGGUUGCAACUCUGCUCUGCCUGGAAAGUACACAUGCAUUGCCUAUCUCUGACUGGAUGCAUGCCAGAUAGUCCUUUGGGAUAUAACCCAGUGAGCAGGAGAAAUGGGUUUGGACUUGGCAAAGUGGCAAUAAGCAUAAAGGAAGAAACUGGAGAGCUGCUUCAUCAGUGCCAAUCCAUGCUGUGGUUGGUCUCAUGAAAAGGAUCUUAUUGAUGAAUUAGUGCAGCUACCCUCCCAGCCAUGGAAGAAUACCUCAUACAAAAAAAUCCAUAGGUGACUAAUAGGUGUGGUAAGCAGCUUGUGAGAUUUGGGAGAAACGUUCUGCUAUCCUGGAAAUCAACCUAGACCUAAAUUACCUUCCAUUGUGGAUAUUUUAGUCUUAAUUCAUGCUUUUCCACCACAUUUCAGAACAUAUCCUUUAUCUGAACAGCUUUGCUUUCUUGUUUGUUUGUUUUUCAUGUUUGUCAGUCAUUACACAGUGCUAUUUAGAAUCAAUUUAGCACCCUUCCACGUGUUGAGUGGCUGUGGUGAGUGAUGAUUGCAGGAUCAGCCUGCUAGUAAUUAAAUGUUGCUGCCUCUUAGCUUGAAAAUGAAACAUCUCUAUGGAAUGUAAGUGUUUCUUGCUUUAUUUAGGUUGGGCAUGUCUAAAUAGCAUGGGUAGGUUUACCAAGUCAGUGCAGGCACAGUGCAAUCGUAAAAUAAUAAACUAAAAAAGCAAAAUGAAGAAGGGGGAAGAAGAGAGAGAGAGAGAGGAAGAAGAGAAGAAGAAAUUGAGAGAAGGGAAACAAAUUCAACCAAUCAUUAAAACUUUGAAUUUCAUGGGAAAUGUUCUACACUUUGCUGAAUCUUGGGUGUAAUUUCCUAAUUUUGGCAUUGUGCUGUCCAGAUAAAAGCUUCCUGUCUGGACUCAUUUUUACUCACAGAUGGGUCUUCAAAAUUGGUAUGAAAUACAGCAAACUGAAAAGAAAGUGUGGACAAGAAAAACACAGUUGUAAGAAAGAAUGUUGAGAGUUUUCAGAAACACUUCUUUGCUUGCAAGGCUGUGGAGGGCCAAGCCCUGAAUGGACUCCAGACUAACCCUGUGGGGAGAGGAAAGUGCCUGUGGAGCUUGGCAAAAGUUGCUUGUCCUUUCCUCCUGAUGAUACGCAUUUGUUCCUGGGUAGUGUGGGAGGUGGCUCCUCCUUCCUGCAUUUGUAGCCACCAUGGAAACAGAUAAUUCCAAAAGACAGUCUAAUAAUGCUGUUGCAGACCCAAAUGUCCUUACAGCGGUCUGAGACUCUCUCCUGACACUAAAUUGUACAUGCAUGUGCAACCAGUGUCACAAGCCUAAUCAUAAAUGCCCCAAACCAAGUGAGACAGAGACUCCAAGGGGUGAACAGCAUGAGAACGACAUGCCAAGGGCCAAGAGAGACAAAAAAAACCACAAAGAGAUUCAAAGUUUACUUCAUGGAAAGUGUGAAAUGAUAUUGUCAAUGUCAGGCCAUGAGACAAGGGAGGCAAUACAGAAAGUAUUGAAGAUGCUGUGCAAGGCAAGUGUGUAAAAAGGAUGAACAAACAGAGGAGGAUCGUGAGCAAAGAAAAAUUGAGAAGAAAGGUUUUGAAAGAAGUGGUCAGAAGAGAAGCCUGGUGGCACAAAAGCUGAUAGAGAAGACAAGGGGCAUGGCAGCAGAAUGAAGGCUGAAAGCACAGCCAUUGAUUUAAUUUGCUGCUUUUCUUUGGAAAUGUAUCCUUUUGCCAGUUCUGGGUGCCAUGCACAUGUGUAAGAACAUACAAGCUUUUCAGCUUGCCAGGGUGAAACUGCCUUCCAGAACUGAGACCCAAUGAAACAACCUUCAGUAUUAAAUCAAUGUCAGUGCUCAAUAACAUCCGGUGCCAGGCAGGGAGAUGCCAGCCCCGCUGGGUGAGUACUGCCAGAGCAUUUGGAUGCUAAUUGGCUGAUUAAUCGAGCUCUUAAGCAAGCAGAUACCUAAGCAAAGAGCAGAGCAGCCAAAUUCCAGGGAGCACUGCCCUGCUAUCUCCCUGUGUUGCAAAAUCCGUGAGUCAGAGGGAGAUGACAGCCCUGGGCAGUACCUGCAGGGAGUACUCUGACCCCCACCUCAGCAAACCUUGUGUUUCUGGGCCCUUUUCAAGUGUGCUUCCAGGCAGGACUCUGCCCUGAUGUCUCGAGGAGGUGAACCAAGAUCUGCAGCAGGAAUGAAGGGUUCAUUUGCUGGAAGGAGAUGAGUGCUGCCAGCGGGACAUCAGGAGACAGCACCCUCAAAGCCCAAGCUCCUGUUGUAGAGUCUGAUCUGCCAUUAUAAAAACAAACAGGCCAGAUCCUCAGCUGGCACAGAGCCACAGAAACUCAGCACAGUAGCUCGAGCUGCAUCUUCUUUAUUGCUUGGGGCAUUGAAGAUUAUGAUUGAAAUGAUGCCCAGGAUGUAACAGAUGAAGUAAAGUGUCCUGAAUUUACCAGCAUCUUAAGUAAAAGCCUAAGUUGCUUAAUUUAUCCUUGGAAUCAUUUUAGCAGUGAGCUUUUUUUACCUUUCUUGUGGGUGCUGUCAUAAAUGGCCUGUGGGAACAGUGGAAUUGUCAUAUCUGGACAUUUUCAAGAAUAUCACUAUUGAGAUUCAAAUAGAUGCAGCUGAAGCAGAGGAACUUGAGUCGAUCAUCUCCUGGAGUCUCUUCCAACCUUCUUUUUUGCAUGAUUUUAGUAAAUCUGUUCAGUUGCUGUCCUAAGCUGGCAAUAUUACUCUGCUUCCAGAGGCUUGUGUCCCAGAAACUCCAGCUCCCAAACCUCUCUACUUCCUUCCUAGCUACUCAUACAAUACAAAAUGUGGUUUUGUCAGUUUUGCAAAUUAUUGUGAAAUCAAGAUCUGAACUGUGGCAACAGUGUGAAGUAAAACACAAAGAUAUCAAAGUUAA